CCGCUAGCUUGCGAUUGGCUAGAACUUGGUCACGUGACCGGACCUAACUGCGGGGGCUGCUGGGAGCUGUAGUCAAGUUGUCCAGGAAGAAGGGGACGUCCAGGAGGUGUCACCAUUGACAUGCCUUUCCCCAGUGCGAACUUUUUCUGAGACCAUUGUAGGUAUCCUGGCCUUGCUGCAGGAAAAUGGACAGAAGAUUCACGAAGCUCUUCUGAAACCUGGGAGAGGAACAGCAUUCCACAGCUGGCUGGCUGCAGUUUUCACAGUCCUUCUGAGGAGCGGAGAGAGGAAGUUGUGCACAUGGUAAAGGGCACGAGUGAACGUCAAAGCCGUCAAUGGGCAUGAGUCAGUGAAAAAUCCCUCUCGGUUGCCACAGAGAGACCUGGGAUGGAAAGAAUUCACACUUCCAAGCUGAGAUGCAGGUUUCGGUACUGACUUGACCAACCCUGGAGCCAGCUGCAGAUGACUCCGGAAGCACUCGUGAGUUGACUUUCUGCUGCAGCCUGUCCCCACACGCCCUCAGAACUUGAACUCUGUCCUGGAAAAGUAG
Molecule: long non-coding RNA, 550 nt
Filed under: Mustela putorius furo (domestic ferret)
Lineage: Eukaryota; Metazoa; Chordata; Mammalia; Carnivora; Mustelidae
Description: lncRNA (ENSMPUG00000030436.1)
Source: RNAcentral